UACGUAGGGUGCGAGCGUUAAUCGGAAUUACUGGGUUUAAAGGGUGUGUAGGCGGGCUUUUAAGUCAGUGGUGAAAUCUCCGGGCUCAACCCGGAAACUGCCAUUGAUACUAUUAGUCUUGAAUUUUGUUGAGGUAGGCGGAAUAAGUCAUGUAGCGGUGAAAUGCUUAGAUAUGACUUAGAACACCAAUUGCGAAGGCAGCUUGCUAAACAAACAUUGACGCUGAGGCACGAAAGCGUGGGGAUCAAACAGG
This 253-nucleotide ribosomal RNA is filed under the name uncultured bacterium. RNAcentral's name for it is "partial 16S ribosomal RNA". It matches the Rfam family "Bacterial small subunit ribosomal RNA", at positions 524 to 776 of the family's 1533-position model. The record is from RNAcentral.